RNAcentral lists this small nuclear RNA (107 nucleotides) under Pan paniscus (pygmy chimpanzee). Lineage: Eukaryota; Metazoa; Chordata; Mammalia; Primates; Hominidae. The record is from RNAcentral.
GUGCUCGCUUCGGCAGCACAUAUAGUAAAAUUGGAACGAUACAGAGAAGAUUAGCAUGGCCCCUGUGCAAGGAUGACAUGCAAAUUCGUGAAGUGUUCCAUAUAUUU